This 359-nucleotide unclassified non-coding RNA is filed under the name soil metagenome. RNAcentral describes it as "partial contains 5.8S ribosomal RNA, internal transcribed spacer 2, and large subunit ribosomal RNA". The stretch from base 1 to 119 matches the Rfam family "5.8S ribosomal RNA", at positions 35 to 154 of the family's 154-position model. The record is from RNAcentral.
GAUGAAGAACGUAGCAAAGUGCGAUAACUAGUGUGAAUUGCAUAUUCAGUGAAUCAUCGAGUCUUUGAACGCAACUUGCGCUCGAUGGUAUGCCAUUGAGCACGCCUGUUUCAGUAUCAAAAACACCCCACAUUCAUAAUUUUGUUGUGAAUGGAAAUGAGAGUUUCGGCUUUAUUGCUGAAUUCUUUAAAAUUAUUAGGCCUGAACUAUUGUUCUUUCUGCCUGAACAUUUUUUUAAUAUAAAGGAAUGCUCUAGUAAAAAGACUAUCUCUGGGGCCUCCCAAAUAAAUCAUUCUUAAAUUUGAUCUGAAAUCAGGCGGGAUUACCCGCUGAACUUAAGCAUAUCAAUAAGCGGAGGA